GAUUUGUUAGUGGGGGUGGGAGUUACUCACUCAACGACUUCUAACCCUAGUAUUUUUGUGGCUAAUUGUCUUCACCCGGAAGUCAGGUUGACUGCUCUAUUGGAAUUGAGAUUUGGUCUGCAUAUCAUUGUUUGAUUUCAGCUGUUCCUAGAUGGAUUCCAGGUUCUCAAACGUGGGGUUCCCUGCUAAUUAUUCUUUGAAUGCAUUCAAGAUUUUGGGUAAUUCAAUGCAAGUUGGAGGAACUGGGGGUGCGUAUAACAUGGAUACUGUUCUACGUCUUGAUUCUGCUGGCUCUUCAGUCUCUGACGUGUCUGCAUCAAAGGGAAUCAAGAGGAAGUGGAGUUCGAUGGAUGGAUCCAUCCGUGGGCAAACUGGGUCGUUAUUGGCUCUUGGGCUAGGCCGCUCCUCUAGUUCCUCAGACAGCAAGGGGAGUUCAACAACUGCUUGUACUACUACAUCUUCAGCCAAAGAAGCUGAUGAAGAGUCCUCAAUGGAUAUUGAAUUGGAUUUUACCCUCCAUCUUGGCAACGAAAAAGUAAUCAACCCCAAGAAAUCUGCUAGUUCAAGUCCAAAAGGACUUGAUUUGCAGCGAAAUGUGGACCUGGAAUUAAGUCUUUCAUCUGGACUUUCUGAAUCUGAUAUCACUAGUGUCCAUCUUAGCUCUUCUCC
RNAcentral lists this long non-coding RNA (669 nucleotides) under Gossypium barbadense (sea-island cotton). RNAcentral describes it as "long non-coding RNA (GBAR_LNC008570)". The record is from RNAcentral. Lineage: Eukaryota; Viridiplantae; Streptophyta; Magnoliopsida; Malvales; Malvaceae.